AAUGCGUUUUGAGAUGGUCCUGUGGCCUAUCAGCUAGUUGGUGGUGUAAUAGACUACCAAGGCUAUGACGGGUAUCCGGCCUGAAAGGGUGAACGGACACACUGGAACUGAGACACGGUCCAGACUCCUACGGGAGGCAGCAGUGGGGAAUUUUGGACAAUGGGCGAAAGCCUGAUCCAGCGACGCCGCGUGGAGGACGAAGGCCUUCGGGUUGUAAACUCCUUUUGGAGGGGAAGAAUAAAUUGACGGUACCCUCAGAAAAAGCACCGGCUAACUACGUGCCAGCAGCCGCGGUAAUACGUAGGGUGCAAGCGUUACUCGGAAUUACUAGGCGUAAAGCGUAUGUAGGCUGUCGGAUAAGUCUUUGGUGAAAUUUCUCGGCUCAACCGAGAAAGGCACAAGGAUACUGUUCGGCUUGAGUGUGGUAGAGGGAAACGGAAUUCCUGGUGUAGCGGUGAAAUGCGUAGAUAUCAGGAGGAACACCGAUGGCGAAAGCAGUUUCCUGGACCAAUACUGACGCUAAUGUACGAAAGCUAGGGUAGCAAACAGGAUUAGAUACCCUGGUAGUCCUAGCUGUAAACGAUGUUCACUAGAUGUGGGAGGUAUCGACCCCUUCCGCGUCGACGCUAACGCAUUAAGUGAACCGCCUGGGGAGUACGGCCGCAAGGUUGAAACUCAAAGGAAUUGACGGGGGCCCGCACAAGCGGUGGAGUAUGUGGUUUAAUUCGACGCAACGCGAAAAACCUUACCUGGGCUUGAACUGCUAAUGGUAAAAACCGGAAACGGCAAUGACCCGCAAGGGAGUUAGCAGAGGUGCUGCAUGGCUGUCGUCAGCUCGUGUCGUGAGAUGUUGGGUUAAGUCCCGCAACGAGCGCAACCCUUAUCCCAUGUUACCUGUAGCAAUACAGGGUCUCUGAGGAAACUGCCAUCGAUAAGAUGGAGGAAGGUGGGGACGACGUCAAGUCAUCAUGGCCUUUAUGUCCAGGGCUACACACGUACUACAAUGGUCGGUACAGAGGGACGCGAGACCGUAAGGUGGAGCAAAUCCCACAAAGCCGGCCUCAGUUCAGAUUGUGGGCUGCAAUUCGCCCACAUGAAGUAGGAAUC
This 1107-nucleotide ribosomal RNA is filed under the name uncultured Termite group 1 bacterium. RNAcentral's name for it is "bacterial SSU rRNA". It matches the Rfam family "Bacterial small subunit ribosomal RNA", at positions 212 to 1333 of the family's 1533-position model. Lineage: Bacteria; Pseudomonadati; Elusimicrobiota. The record is from RNAcentral.